UCUCCGUUGGUGAACCAGCGGAGGGAUCAUUACAGAGUUUUCACAACUCCCAACCCUUGCGAACCGUACCCAUUCUGUUCUCGUUGCUUCCGGCGGGGGGGACGGGGGGGCCCGAAACUGCCUCCCCGCCCCGCCCGCCGGGGGCGGCGGGCCGUACGACCCUUUAUAUCUUAACCCCCAGGAACCGGGUUAUAAAAGAAACAAAAUAAACAAAACUUUCAACAACGGAGCACUUUGCGCUUGCAUAGAUGAAGAAUGAAGCAGAUUGGAAGAGCACAC
RNAcentral lists this unclassified non-coding RNA (279 nucleotides) under plant metagenome. RNAcentral's name for it is "partial contains small subunit ribosomal RNA, internal transcribed spacer 1, and 5.8S ribosomal RNA". The record is from RNAcentral.